AUACUUACCUGGACGGGGUCGACGACUGAUCAAGAAGAGUCGUGGCCUAGGCUAGUGGUCCACAUUGCACUUGGUGGAUGCGCUGGCUUACCAUCUCCUCAAAUGGGAGAGUGGACGUCAUAAUUUGUGAUAGAGGGGGUACGCGUCCGCGCGGCCCCUG
This 160-nucleotide small nuclear RNA is filed under the name Triticum aestivum (bread wheat). RNAcentral describes it as "U1 spliceosomal RNA". It matches the Rfam family "U1 spliceosomal RNA". From Rfam's summary of the family: U1 is a small nuclear RNA (snRNA) component of the spliceosome (involved in pre-mRNA splicing). Its 5' end forms complementary base pairs with the 5' splice junction, thus defining the 5' donor site of an intron. There are significant differences in sequence and secondary structure between metazoan and yeast U1 snRNAs, the latter being much longer (568 nucleotides as compared to 164 nucleotides in human). RNAcentral also lists the same sequence under 1 other name. Lineage: Eukaryota; Viridiplantae; Streptophyta; Magnoliopsida; Poales; Poaceae. The record is from Rfam by way of RNAcentral.